GGGGGGCUAGAUUAGCCAUGCAUGUCCAAGUAUAGAACUGCUUAUACUGUGAAACUGCGAAUGGCUCAUUAAAUCAGUUAUAGUUUAUUUGAUGGUACCUGGCUACUCGGAUACCCGUAGUAAUUCUAGAGCUAAUACGUGCGCACAUCCCGACUUCUCGGAAGGGACGUAUUUAUUAGAUAAAAGGCCGACCGGGCUUGCCCGAUUCGCGGCGAAUCAUGAUAACUCCACGAAUCGCACGGCCUCCGCGCCGGCGAUGUUUCAUUCAAAUUUCUGCCCUAUCAACUUUCGAUGGUAGGAUUGAGGCCUACCAUGGUUUAGACGGUCGACGGGGAAUUAUGGUCCUAGGCAGGAGAUGUCGCCUUCCACACCGGGGCCCCUUUUUGGUGGGGUUUCUCACAAUGGGUUUUAACUACCUCCGGUUCUUAAUUCCGGUCCGAUUACCCCUAAACCCCCCCUUUCUUUUCCUUAAAAAAGACACUCCCGAAAACUUAAAGACAAUCCCCCCCCAGGCUCCCACACAAGUGUGCGCGCUACCCCUUCUAGUAUUUUAUUGUUUUCGGGUGGUUGUAACCCUCUCUUGGCGACGACAAGUGCCUCUUCUCAAUUUAAUUGAGCUUGGCAGGAUCUUGCUCAAUCAUGCAAAACUGCUUCCAACUACUCGCGAUUAAUCGUCUGUACGUCGUGGCUCCCACGAUGUUGUGACACCAGGGGACUACUAUCUACUACGCAAAACUACGACAGCCCCCUUCGAGCUACUUACUGCUAGGUUGCUGUCUGUGUAAGCUACUGAUAGC
Molecule: ribosomal RNA, 797 nt
Filed under: Watanabea reniformis
Lineage: Eukaryota; Viridiplantae; Chlorophyta; Trebouxiophyceae; Watanabeales; Watanabeaceae
Description: partial 18S ribosomal RNA
Rfam family: Eukaryotic small subunit ribosomal RNA (bases 24-355)
Source: RNAcentral